GUUUCUCUUACUCAGGCCAGAAUAGAUAUGAGUGAAAUUGAUGAGGAUUCUGAUGGUUUCGUCCAACCUCAUGUAUGAAGCCUUUCCAUUUUGAAGAAAUGGAGGCCUAUAUUCAGGGUCUUAUUCCUAAUCUGGCACAACUACACGAUAUGCCUACUGCCUUUGUUCAAAUGUACUGUCGCACAGCUGCACACAAGUUAUUCUUCUUUUGUGAUCCUAACAGACGAGG
Molecule: long non-coding RNA, 229 nt
Organism: Hibiscus syriacus
Lineage: Eukaryota; Viridiplantae; Streptophyta; Magnoliopsida; Malvales; Malvaceae
Exons: 2
Source: RefSeq, a predicted model, not a curated record